UCCGUAGGUGAACCUUGCGGAAGGAUCAUUACCGAGUGAGGGCCCUCUGGGUCCAACCUCCCACCCGUGUCUAUCGUACCUUGUUGCUUCGGCGGGCCCGCCGUUUCGACGGCCGCCGGGGAGGCCUUGCGCCCCCGGGCCCGCGCCCGCCGAAGACCCCAACAUGAACGCUGUUCUGAAAGUAUGCAGUCUGAGUUGAUUAUCGUAAUCAGUUAAAACUUUCAACAACGGAUCUCUUGGUUCCGGCAUCGAUGAAGAACGCAGCGAAAUGCGAUAAGUAAUGUGAAUUGCAGAAUUCAGUGAAUCGUCGAGUCUUUGAACGCACAUUGCGCCCCCUGGUAUUCCGGGGGGCAUGCCUGUCCGAGCGUCAUUGCUGCCCUCAAGCACGGCUUGUGUGUUGGGCCCCCGUCCCCCUCUCCCGGGGGACGGGCCCGAAAGGCAGCGGCGGCACCGCGUCCGGUCCUCGAGCGUAUGGGGCUUUGUCACCUGCUCUGUAGGCCCGGCCGGCGCCAGCCGACACCCAACUUUAUUUUUCUAAGGUUGACCUCGGAUCAGGUAGGGAUACCCGCUGAACUUAAGCAUAUCAAUAAGCGGAGGA
This 598-nucleotide ribosomal RNA is filed under the name Aspergillus sp. FLN9a. Its description in RNAcentral is "eukaryotic LSU rRNA". The stretch from base 217 to 370 matches the Rfam family "5.8S ribosomal RNA". The record is from RNAcentral. Lineage: Eukaryota; Fungi; Ascomycota; Eurotiomycetes; Eurotiales; Aspergillaceae.